Molecule: ribosomal RNA, 417 nt
Filed under: uncultured organism
Description: bacterial SSU rRNA
Rfam family: Bacterial small subunit ribosomal RNA
Source: RNAcentral
CCUGCCCUUGGGAGGGGAACAACAACUGGAAACGGUUGCUAAUACCCCGUAGGCUGAGGAGCAAAAGGAGAAAUCCGCCCAAGGAGGGGCUCGCGUCUGAUUAGCUAGUUGGUGAGGUAAUAGCUUACCAAGGCGAUGAUCAGUAGCUGGUCCGAGAGGAUGAUCAGCCACACUGGGACUGAGACACGGCCCAGACUCCUACGGGAGGCAGCAGUGGGGAAUUUUCCGCAAUGGGCGAAAGCCUGACGGAGCAAUGCCGCGUGGAGGUGGAAGGCCUACGGGUCGUCAACUUCUUUUCUCGGAGAAGAAACAAUGACGGUAUCUGAGGAAUAAGCAUCGGCUAACUCUGUGCCAGCAGCCGCGGUAAGACAGAGGAUGCAAGCGUUAUCCGGAAUGAUUGGGCGUAAAGCGUCUGUA